RNAcentral lists this ribosomal RNA (433 nucleotides) under uncultured bacterium. Its description in RNAcentral is "partial 16S ribosomal RNA". It matches the Rfam family "Bacterial small subunit ribosomal RNA", at positions 29 to 507 of the family's 1533-position model. The record is from RNAcentral.
AACGAACGCUGGCGGCAUGCCUAACACAUGCAAGUCGAACGAGACCUUCGGGCCUGCUGGCGCACGGGUUCGUAACGCGUGGGAACCUGCCUUUAGGUUCUGAAUAACUCCCCGAAAGGGGUGCUAAUACCGGAUAAUGUUUUCGGACCAAAGACUUAUCGCGUUUGGAUGUGGCCGCGUUGGAUUAGUUAGUUGGUAGGGUAAAAGCCUACCACGGCGACGAGCCAUAGCUGGUCGGUGAGGAUGAACAGCCACACUGGGACUGAGACCAGGCCCAGACUCCUACGGGAAGCAGGAGUGGGGGAUAAAGGGGCAUGGGCGAGAGGCUGAGCCGGCAAGGCCGCGUGAGUGAUGAAGGCCUUAGGGUUGUAAAGCUCUUUUAACCGAGAUGAUAAUGACAGUACCGGGAGAAUAAGCUCCGGCUAACUACGUG